CAAAUGAAUUGACGGGGGCCCGCACAAGCGGUGGAGCAUGUGGUUUAAUUCGAUGCAACGCGAAGAACCUUACCUGGUCUUGACAUCCACAGAAGAAUCCAGAGAUGGAUUUGUGCCUUCGGGAACUGUGAGACAGGUGCUGCAUGGCUGUCGUCAGCUCGUGUUGUGAAAUGUUGGGUUAAGUCCCGCAACGAGCGCAACCC
This 203-nucleotide ribosomal RNA is filed under the name Salmonella enterica subsp. enterica serovar Worthington str. BCH-3194. RNAcentral describes it as "partial 16S ribosomal RNA". It matches the Rfam family "Bacterial small subunit ribosomal RNA", at positions 902 to 1104 of the family's 1533-position model. Lineage: Bacteria; Pseudomonadati; Pseudomonadota; Gammaproteobacteria; Enterobacterales; Enterobacteriaceae. The record is from RNAcentral.